RNAcentral lists this ribosomal RNA (409 nucleotides) under Actinomycetes bacterium. RNAcentral's name for it is "Actinobacteria bacterium partial 16S ribosomal RNA". It matches the Rfam family "Bacterial small subunit ribosomal RNA", at positions 355 to 776 of the family's 1533-position model. Lineage: Bacteria; Bacillati; Actinomycetota; Actinomycetes. The record is from RNAcentral.
UGGGGAAUAUUGCACAAUGGGCGGAAGCCUGAUGCAGCGACGCCGCGUGGGGGAUGAAGGCCUUCGGGUUGUAAACUCCUUUCGACAGGGACGAAGCUUUUGUGACGGUACCUGUAUAAGAAGCACCGGCUAACUACGUGCCAGCAGCCGCGGUAAUACGUAGGGUGCGAGCGUUGUCCGGUAUUACUGGGCGUAAAGAGCUCGUAGGUGGUUUGUCGCGUUGUCUGUGAAAUUCCGGGGCUUAACUCCGGGCGUGCAGGCGAUACGGGCUGACUUGAGUGCUGUAGGGGAGACUGGAAUUCCUGGUGUAGCGGUGAAAUGCGCAAAUAUCAGGAGAAACACCGAUGGCGAAGGCAGGUCUCUGGGCAGUAACUGACGCUGAGGAGCGAAAGCAUGGGUAGCGAACAGG